This 119-nucleotide ribosomal RNA is filed under the name Helianthus annuus (common sunflower). The record is from RNAcentral. Lineage: Eukaryota; Viridiplantae; Streptophyta; Magnoliopsida; Asterales; Asteraceae.
GGUUGCGAUCAUACCAGCACUAAUGCACUAGAUCCCAUCAGAACUCCGCAGUUAAGCGUGCUUGGGCGAGAGUAGUACUAGGAUGGGUGACCCCCUGGGAAGUCCUCGUGUUGCAACCC